This 660-nucleotide ribosomal RNA is filed under the name uncultured bacterium. RNAcentral's name for it is "bacterial SSU rRNA". It matches the Rfam family "Bacterial small subunit ribosomal RNA", at positions 94 to 788 of the family's 1533-position model. The record is from RNAcentral.
AGUGGCGGACGGGUGAGUAACGCGUGAGAAUCUGCCUUGGGGUCGGGGACAACCACUGGAAACGGUGGCUAAUACCGGAUACGCCUUCGGGUAAAAGAUUUAUUGCCCUAAGAGGAGCUCGCGUCUGAUUAGCUAGUUGGUGAGGUAAGAGCUCACCAAGGCAGCGAUCAGUAGCUGGUCUGAGAGGACGAUCAGCCACACUGGGACUGAGACACGGCCCAGACUCCUACGGGAGGCAGCAGUGGGUAAUUUUCCGCAAUGGGCGAAAGCCUGACGGAGCAAGACCGCGUGAGGGAGGAAGGCUCUUGGGUUGUAAACCUCUUUUCUCAGGGAAGAAGCUCUGACGGUACCUGAGGAAUCAGCCUCGGCUAACUCCGUGCCAGCAGCCGCGGUAAUACGGAGGAGGCAAGCGUUAUCCGGAAUUAUUGGGCGUAAAGCGUCCGCAGGUGGCGAUUCAAGUCUGCUGUCAAAGCACGGGGCUUAACUCCGUAAAGGCAGUGGAAACUGAAUAGCUAGAGUGCCGUAGGGGUAGAGGGAAUUCCCGGUGUAGCGGUGAAAUGCGUAGAGAUCGGGAAGAACAUCGGUGGCGAAAGCGCUCUACUGGACGGCAACUGACACUCAGGGACGAAAGCUAGGGGAGCGAAUGGGAUUAGAUACCCC